RNAcentral lists this long non-coding RNA (899 nucleotides) under Homo sapiens (human). RNAcentral describes it as "HSALNT0129617". The record is from RNAcentral. Lineage: Eukaryota; Metazoa; Chordata; Mammalia; Primates; Hominidae.
CAGAGGAAGUACUGAAAUUCAGCGUUAAGUAAAAAAACCAAAAAAGGAAAGUUGGUACCAAAGACUGUUUGGUUUUUUGGGAAGAGAUCAUCAUGUAAUUACAAUUUGUUCGUCCUAUUAAAGGCAGGAAAAUCUGUAUGUGCCAUGCAAUCACUGUAGCAGAUGUGUUCGUUGGCUGCCCCAAAGCCUUGGCUUCUCCAGCCCCAUUUCAUUUGCCUGGCUUUCAUUACAGAGACUGAAAAAAUUUCUCUCUUUAGUUUAUUCAACUUUCCUUCCGGGUCAGGUCACAUAUGGAAAGAGGGUCUCCUAGGAGCUUUUGGGAGGAUUUCUCCUUUUUUCCAUUAGAAAGAGGUACCCAAGAAGGAGCACUCUUAAUACUGUCUCCUGAGAUGCAGCCAUCAUGAAACCAUAAGGAACAGAACAGCAAGGAACCGACACCAAAUAGGCUGGGAAAUCUUUGAGACACUGAACCAAUGCCGCGACCACUUAUUUCCAAAGUCUUGCUAUAUGAGGCACCAUUGUUAACUAGGUUUUUCUUUGAUUUGAAGCUGAAAGCAUUUCUAACUAUUUCUAAAAGUGGAGGUCACAUUUUAAAAUGAAACUUAUCAUCUGAAUUCCUUCAUGACUUUUUUCUGUUUCAAAAGGCAAAUAAACACGAUGAUUUAUUUCCCACAGAUCAAAAUGUUAUAUGAUGUGGCCAACAUGUAAUAAAAAAAUUGGGAAGAUAACUAAAAAGAACUGGAGUACAUUCUGGGUCUAUUGGGCUCAAACUCCAGCUUGACUGCUUCUGGCUGUUUGACCUCAACUGAAAGUUAGUAAUAAUCAGAGUCAUUUACAUCAUAGGAUUAUUGUGAGAAUUACAUGUGAUAUUUUUAAAUUGCUAACCCCCAUGCCUGGGA